UACGUAGGGCGCAAGCGUUGUCCGGAAUUAUUGGGCGUAAAGAGCUCGUAGGCGGCUUGUCACGUCGGGUGUGAAAGCCCGGGGCUUAACCCCGGGUCUGCAUUCGAUACGGGCUAGCUAGAGUGUGGUAGGGGAGAACGGAAUUCCUGGUGUAGCGGUGAAAUGCGCAGAUAUCAGGAGGAACACCGGUGGCGAAGGCGGUUCUCUGGGCAUUACCUGACGCUGAGGAGCGAAAGUGUGGGGAGCGAACAGG
Molecule: ribosomal RNA, 253 nt
Filed under: uncultured bacterium
Lineage: Bacteria
Description: partial 16S ribosomal RNA
Rfam family: Bacterial small subunit ribosomal RNA
Source: RNAcentral